RNAcentral lists this ribosomal RNA (373 nucleotides) under uncultured organism. RNAcentral's name for it is "bacterial SSU rRNA". It matches the Rfam family "Bacterial small subunit ribosomal RNA", at positions 526 to 896 of the family's 1533-position model. The record is from RNAcentral.
CGUAGGGACCGAGCGUUGUCCGGAUUCAUUGGGCGUAAAGAGCUCGUAGGCGGCUAUUCAAGUCGAACGUGAAAUCUCGGAGCUCAACUCCGAGCCUGCGUUUGAUACUGGAUGGCUAGAGUCUGGUAGGGGGAUCUGGAAUUCCUGGUGUAGCGGUGGAAUGCGCAGAUAUCAGGGGGAACACCGGUGGCGAAGGCGGGAUCCUGGGCCAGUACUGACGCUGAGGAGCGAAAGCGUGGGGAGCAAACAGGAUUAGAUACCCUGGUAGUCCACGCCGUAAACGAUGGGCGCUAGGUGUGGGAGGUCAUCGACUCCUUCCGUGCCGCAGCUAACGCAUUAAGCGCCCCGCCUGGGGAGUACGGCCGCAAGGCUA